AAUAGAAAGGAAAAGGGAAGGAAAAAUAGAAAGGAAGAGAGGAAGAAAAAUGGAAAGUAUGAGAUACUUGUCCAGAAAUUAGAUUGUUCAUGUGUUUUAUAUAAAAUCUGAUUAGAGUGUGGUGAGAUCUGUUGGAAAAUAAUUUCUAAAGAUAUUGUAAUGGAGGUCAUGAAAGCAUACAAGCUAUGGUGCAAUGAGUUCUUGCAAAGGACAGUCGGUAGUGUACUUGCAAAGAUGGCUGCAACACCAUGACAAGUUGGGAAGGGUCCCAAUCAAUCCUGUGUGGAUCACC
This 292-nucleotide long non-coding RNA is filed under the name Elaeis guineensis (African oil palm). Its description in RNAcentral is "long non-coding RNA (EGUI_LNC068680)". The record is from RNAcentral. Lineage: Eukaryota; Viridiplantae; Streptophyta; Magnoliopsida; Arecales; Arecaceae.